This 77-nucleotide transfer RNA is filed under the name Ochrobactrum sp. RNAcentral's name for it is "tRNA-Thr". It matches the Rfam family "tRNA". From Rfam's summary of the family: Transfer RNA (tRNA) molecules are approximately 80 nucleotides in length. Lineage: Bacteria; Pseudomonadati; Pseudomonadota; Alphaproteobacteria; Hyphomicrobiales; Brucellaceae. The record is from RNAcentral.
UCCNNCUUUAGCUCAGUUGGUAGAGCACAUCAUUCGUAAUGAUGGGGUCGCGUGUUCGAGUCACGCAAGCGGCACCA